GUCUAUAAAAUGGCUCUUGAGGAGCUGAAGAGGGAAGCACUCGACUUACACCACUUCAAAGUGGACAUUCCUUUCAACAAAGGGCCUCCUUUGUUCUCAUAGCCCUGGACCUGGGAUUAGGAUGAUACUGGGAACAACCACAUGUUCAGCUGUACAAGAUCAAUUUACAGGAGAUCGUCACAUAAUUUAAAAAAUGAAAAGGGGUAAGUGGAAAGCAAGCCAAAAUCCUUGCAAGAAAUUUACGUCAGCAAUUCCAAAAAAGGGAACCGAGGACCGAAACCAUCCCUGAAACUAACCCAGAAGAAUUCAGGAGGGGCCAAAAGGAGGAGGGAGGAGAAAAUAUGUCCUGCCACCCUCCCAGAAGCCCUCACGCUGGAAUCCGUCUUGGCUGAGAGAUGCACGCCACCAGGAAGGACCCUGAGUCAGACCAACUACGGGCAAAGCAAGAUGAUUGGCCAGAAACAACCCGGAAGCUAACCCCCUUACCAUCAAAGCUGAGACUGUGAGUCACGUGGCAGAGCAGUUCUCCUGGGUUCCCUUACCCUCCUGCUUUCCCCCCAGGCACCCCUUCCCAAUAAAGUCUCUUGCUUUGUCAACA
This is a long non-coding RNA of Balaenoptera ricei (Rice's whale), 598 nucleotides long. RefSeq lists it as uncharacterized. NCBI's taxonomy places the organism in Eukaryota, Metazoa, Chordata, Mammalia, Artiodactyla, Balaenopteridae. The record is from RefSeq and is a predicted model, not a curated record. The transcript has 2 exons.